UACGUAGGCGGCCUAUUAAGUCAGGUGUGAAAGCGUGAGGCUUAACCUCAUUAAGCACUUGAAACUGGAAGGCUUGAGUGAAGGAGAGGAAAAGUGGAAUUCCUAGUGUAGCGGUGAAAUGCGUAGAUAUUAGGAGGAAUACCGGUGGCGAAGGCGACUUUCUGGACUUUUACUUGACGCUCAGGUACGAAAGACGUGGGGAGGCAAACA
Molecule: ribosomal RNA, 210 nt
Filed under: uncultured bacterium
Lineage: Bacteria
Description: partial 16S ribosomal RNA
Rfam family: Bacterial small subunit ribosomal RNA
Source: RNAcentral